CCUACGGGCGGCAGCAGUGGGGGAUAUUGCACAAUGGGGGAAACCCUGAUGCAGCGACGCCGCGUGUGGGAAGACGGUCCUCUGGAUUGUAAACCACUGUCCCCAGGGACGAAGAUGACGGUACCUGGGGAGGAAGCUCCGGCUAACUACGUGCCAGCAGCCGCGGUAAUACGUAGGGAGCAAGCGUUGUCCGGAAUUACUGGGUGUAAAGGGAGCGUAGGCGGGAUGGCAAGUUGGGUGUUAAAUCUACCGGCUCAACUGGUAGUCGCACUCAAAACUGCUAUUCUUGAGUGAAGUAGAGGCAGGCGGAAUCCCUAGGGUAGCGGUGAAAGGCGUAGAUAUUAGGAGGAACACUAGGGGCGAAGGCGGCCUGCUGGGCUUUUACUGACGCGGAGGCUCGAAAGUGUGGGGAGAAAACAGGAUUAGAUACCCCGGUAGUC
RNAcentral lists this ribosomal RNA (440 nucleotides) under uncultured bacterium. Its description in RNAcentral is "partial 16S ribosomal RNA". It matches the Rfam family "Bacterial small subunit ribosomal RNA", at positions 338 to 795 of the family's 1533-position model. The record is from RNAcentral.